RNAcentral lists this ribosomal RNA (253 nucleotides) under uncultured bacterium. RNAcentral's name for it is "partial 16S ribosomal RNA". It matches the Rfam family "Bacterial small subunit ribosomal RNA", at positions 524 to 776 of the family's 1533-position model. The record is from RNAcentral.
UCCGGAGGGCGCUAGCGUUGUUCGGAAUUACUGGGCGUAAAGCGCACGUAGGCGGCUCAGCAAGUCAGGGGUGAAAUCCCGGGGCUCAACCCCGGAACUGCCCUUGAAACUGCUAAGCUAGAAUCUUGGAGAGGCGAGUGGAAUUCCGAGUGUAGAGGUGAAAUUCGUAGAUAUUCGGAAGAACACCAGUGGCGAAGGCGACUCGCUGGACAAGUAUUGACGCUGAGGUGCGAAAGCGUGGGGAGCAAACAGG